RNAcentral lists this ribosomal RNA (2058 nucleotides) under Salmonella enterica subsp. enterica serovar Heidelberg. Its description in RNAcentral is "partial 23S ribosomal RNA". It matches the Rfam family "Bacterial large subunit ribosomal RNA", at positions 161 to 2141 of the family's 2925-position model. The record is from RNAcentral. Lineage: Bacteria; Pseudomonadati; Pseudomonadota; Gammaproteobacteria; Enterobacterales; Enterobacteriaceae. RNAcentral also lists the same sequence under 1 other name.
AAUCCAUAGGUUAAUGAGGCGAACCGGGGGAACUGAAACAUCUAAGUACCCCGAGGAAAAGAAAUCAACCGAGAUUCCCCCAGUAGCGGCGAGCGAACGGGGAGGAGCCCAGAGCCUGAAUCAGCAUGUGUGUUAGUGGAAGCGUCUGGAAAGGCGCGCGAUACAGGGUGACAGCCCCGUACACAAAAGCGCAUGUGCUGUGAGCUCGAUGAGUAGGGCGGGACACGUGGUAUCCUGUCUGAAUAUGGGGGGACCAUCCUCCAAGGCUAAAUACUCCUGACUGACCGAUAGUGAACCAGUACCGUGAGGGAAAGGCGAAAAGAACCCCGGCGAGGGGAGUGAAAAAGAACCUGAAACCGUGUACGUACAAGCAGUGGGAGCCCCACCACUAAGCCAGUGGUGAACUCCACAUACGCAUCCUUUGCUGAGGAUACGGUUAACGGAGCGAAAGCGACGUUCAACCGCAAAAGAAGCAGAGGGGGCUUAGUGGUGGGGUGACUGCGUACCUUUUGUAUAAUGGGUCAGCGACUUAUAUUCUGUAGCAAGGUUAACCGAAUAGGGGAGCCGGAGGGAAACCGAGUCUUAAUUGGGCGUUAAGUUGCAGGGUAUAGACCCGAAACCCGGUGAUCUAGCCAUGGGCAGGUUGAAGGUUGGGUAACACUAACUGGAGGACCGAACCGACUAAUGUUGAAAAAUUAGCGGAUGACCUGUGGCUGGGGGUGAAAGGCCAAUCAAACCGGGAGAUAGCUGGUUCUCCCCGAAAGCUAUUUAGGUAGCGCCUCGUGAAUUCAUCUCCGGGGGUAGAGCACUGUUUCGGCUAGGGGGCCAUCCCGGCUUACCAACCCGAUGCAAACUGCGAAUACCGGAGAAUGUUAUCACGGGAGACACACGGCGGGUGCUAACGUCCGUCGUGAAGAGGGAAACAACCCAGACCGCCAGCUAAGGUCCCAAAGUCAUGGUUAAGUGGGAAACGAUGUGGGAAGGCCCAGACAGCCAGGAUGUUGGCUUAGAAGCAGCCAUCAUUUAAAGAAAGCGUAAUAGCUCACUGGUCGAGUCGGCCUGCGCGGAAGAUGUAACGGGGCUAAACCAUGCACCGAAGCUGCGGCAGCGACACUGUGUGUUGUUGGGUAGGGGAGCGUUCUGUAAGCCUGUGAAGGUGUGUCGUGAGGCAUGCUGGAGGUAUCAGAAGUGCGAAUGCUGACAUAAGUAACGAUAAAGCGGGUGAAAAGCCCGCUCGCCGGAAGACCAAGGGUUCCUGUCCAACGUUAAUCGGGGCAGGGUGAGUCGACCCCUAAGGCGAGGCCGAAAGGCGUAGUCGAUGGGAAACGGGUUAAUAUUCCCGUACUUGGUGUUACUGCGAAGGGGGGACGGAGAAGGCUAUGUUGGCCGGGCGACGGUUGUCCCGGUUUAAGCGUGUAGGUGUGUGUUCCAGGUAAAUCCGGUUCACUUUAACACUGAGGCGUGACGACGAGGCACUACGGUGCUGAAGCAACAAAUGCCCUGCUUCCAGGAAAAGCCUCUAAGCAUCAGGUAACAUCAAAUCGUACCCCAAACCGACACAGGUGGUCAGGUAGAGAAUACCAAGGCGCUUGAGAGAACUCGGGUGAAGGAACUAGGCAAAAUGGUGCCGUAACUUCGGGAGAAGGCACGCUGACACGUAGGUGAAGUGAUUUACUCAUGGAGCUGAAGUCAGUCGAAGAUACCAGCUGGCUGCAACUGUUUAUUAAAAACACAGCACUGUGCAAACACGAAAGUGGACGUAUACGGUGUGACGCCUGCCCGGUGCCGGAAGGUUAAUUGAUGGGGUCAGCGCAAGCGAAGCUCCUGAUCGAAGCCCCGGUAAACGGCGGCCGUAACUAUAACGGUCCUAAGGUAGCGAAAUUCCUUGUCGGGUAAGUUCCGACCUGCACGAAUGGCGUAAUGAUGGCCAGGCUGUCUCCACCCGAGACUCAGUGAAAUUGAACUCGCUGUGAAGAUGCAGUGUACCCGCGGCAAGACGGAAAGACCCCGUGAACCUUUACUAUAGCUUGACACUGAACAUUGAGCCUUGAUGUGUAG